GUCCUUGCCGUAAACGAUGUGGAUUAGGUAUCGGGGGUGUCGAUCCCCCCGGCGCCGACGCUAACGCAUUAAAUCCACCACCUGGGGAGUACGGUCGCAAGACUGAAACUCAAAGAAAUUGACGGGGACCCGCACAAGCGGUGGAGCAUGUGGUUUAAUUCGAGGCUACGCGAAGAACCUUACCCAGGCUUGACAUGUAUUUGCAAGCCUAUGAAAAUAGGUCCUCUCGCAAGAGACGAUUACACAGGUGCUGCAUGGCUGUCGU
This 265-nucleotide ribosomal RNA is filed under the name uncultured bacterium. Its description in RNAcentral is "partial 16S ribosomal RNA". It matches the Rfam family "Bacterial small subunit ribosomal RNA", at positions 793 to 1055 of the family's 1533-position model. The record is from RNAcentral.